AUUGAACGCUGGCGGCAUGCCUUACGCAUGCAAGUCGAACGGCAGCACGGGAGCAAUCCUGGUGGCGAGUGGCGAACGGGUGAGUAAUAUAUCGGAACGUGCCCAGUCGUGGGGGAUAACGUAGCGAAAGCUACGCUAAUACCGCAUACGAUCUAUGGAUGAAAGCGGGGGAUCGCAAGACCUCGCGCGAUUGGAGCGGCCGAUAUCAGAUUAGGUAGUUGGUGGGGUAAAGGCUCACCAAGCCGACGAUCUGUAGCUGGUCUGAGAGGACGGCCAGCCAAACUGGGACUGGGAAACGGCCCAGACUCCUACGGGAGGCAGCAGUGGGGAAUUUUGGACAAUGGGCGCAAGCCUGAUCCAGCAAUGCCGCGUGCAGGAUGAAGGCCUUCGGGUUGUAAACUGCUUUUGUACGGAACGAAACGGCGAGCUCUAAUACAGUUCGCUAAUGACGGUACCGUAAGAAUAAGCACCGGCUAACUACGUGCCAGCCGCCGCGGUAA
This 500-nucleotide ribosomal RNA is filed under the name uncultured bacterium. RNAcentral's name for it is "partial 16S ribosomal RNA". It matches the Rfam family "Bacterial small subunit ribosomal RNA", at positions 30 to 523 of the family's 1533-position model. The record is from RNAcentral.